Long non-coding RNA from Homo sapiens (human), 2578 nucleotides. Ensembl annotates it as MIAT neighbor. Its record names the gene MIATNB. Lineage: Eukaryota; Metazoa; Chordata; Mammalia; Primates; Hominidae. The record is from Ensembl.
GGAGAAAGGGAUGGGGAGAGUCCCUCCUGCCACUGACCCAGGAUGGAUAAAAGUACCCCUUUCAUAGAAGGAAGAAAAUGGGAACAAAGGUGCUGCUGAUCAUCUGAGGUUGCCUGCAUGGCAGUGAAGAACAUGGACCUUUGGGUAGCCCACCUGGGAGGAAUUUUCCAGAGAUCACUGUCUGAUGACCCUGUCUUGGAAUUGGAGCCAUGCAAGUUACACUGACCACGUUUGGGUUGGGAUAUUGAGGAGGUUAUGGUUAAAAGCAUACGAUGGGAGAUCAUAUUGUACUUGCGAGUGAGACCCGGCUGGAGGAAUGUUUUAAUUCUUCGGAAAUACCAAGUGGUCUCUGUAAGUAACAUAGGGUGGUUAGCCAAGCAUAAUGAGACCAUUGAGGCAUCCCAGCAAGAAUUGAUCUGUUUAGAGAAGAGAUGUUGCUGCUGCUUCUUUUUUUUUAACAUUUUAUUUUUAAUUUUGCUGCCUAUGACAAGCUGCUUCUAACAGCCUCAGGGCGAGGGGCCCAUGAGUGCAAGGACAGGAGAGGGGUCUGCGAGUUCUACUUGGGUAGGGCUUGGGGCAUCAUAGGAGUGCAGGGAUCUCCUCUCUGGGAUCCAGUUUAACCCUGAUGACAUCCCCCAUGCAGCAAAUAACUCCAGGUAACCGGCAGCAGCUGGUCCACAUCAUAGUCUGUGAGAGAUUGCUCAUGUCUUGCCUGUUUUCCUACCUCUUCAUUCUAAGGAAAAGGACCCACAAUCUGAGUGCCCUGCUCUGGGACAUAGGUGGGGAACAGGCAGGGAUGGGAGGUGGGGACCACUUUCUUCUGCACCCAUUAAAUAUAUGCCUUUUUUUUUUUGAGACAGGGCCUCCCUCUGUCACCCAGACUGGAGGGCAGUGGUGCAAUCGUGGCUCACUGCUGCCUCAGUCUCCAGAUGGCUCAAGCCAUCCUCCCCCAUCAGCUGUCAAAAUACCUGGAUUUACAGGUGCAUGCCACCAUGCCCAGCUAAUUUUUUCUAUUUUUUUUUUUUUUGUAGAGAUGGGUUUUCACUAUUUUUCCCAGGCUAGUCUCCAACUUCUGGGCUCAAGCGAUCCACCCGCCUUGGCCUCCUAAGUCCUAGGAUUAUAGGUAUGAGCCACUGCGCCUGGCCUUUUUGCCUUUUGAAAGUAUCUGUUGUUAACAAUAUUCAAUUGGGUUGAAUCUUGCUAGGGACCAAGGUGAAUUUGCAUAAAUUAGUCUAUGCCAAUUUGCAUACUAUCAGCAAAUUUGUAGUGUACAGAAUUUUGGAAAUAGAAGGAAGCUAAGAGGGGUGUCAAAUGCAGCUUCUUCUUUUUUUACCUGAAAAGAUACCAAAGUCCAGCUCAGGGAAGGUCACACAGCUAAUUCUUAUCAUGGGGAGACAGACCCAGGGACAUCAUGGUGCCUCCGAGAUUAGUACGGCCCCUCAAACAUCCCCAUUUUCUGUCCCUAGCCCAUUGGAACCCCUUAAAGUUGGUCCCUCGAGCUCGGGUGAUAGCACACAUGAUGGAAAGUAGGCAGGCUUGCCAUUGAAGCUCCAACCUAGCUCUGCACCACAUCAGCUGUGUGACCUUGAGCAAAUCACUUAACCACUCUGAGCAUGGCAUUUGUAAAUGUCAAGGUAGCAACGCCCUCUUUACUGCCCUGUUGUGACAAAUAAGAUAUAUUCCAUAAAUAUGAUCCAUGUAGUAUUAAACUACCAUUUACUGAGUCUCCCCUAUGGAAAGCACUUAGUAGGUGCUCAAAAACUCCUAGUCCUUUCUUCCCCUCUUUCAAUGUGUCACUGCAUCUGGGUAAUUUAUACCCAUUUCCUGUUUUCCUUUGAGAAGUGCAUGUCAUGCUCUGCACAAAAGUGACUCUUAAUGGUGGCAUUUCAAGCAUCAUGGCAGAGUGCUGAGACGCUGAUGAAGAUAUUUUAGGCUGGGGUGCAUGGGGAGCACUCUCAGGGCCUCUCAUGCGCAUCCUGAGCCCUUCCUGUGAACCAGACUGACCCUGGCUUCUGUGCCAUUUUCAUUCCAGCCAAGAAUGUUCUGAAAUGAAGCCAAUAUCUGAAGGAUCUAGGAUGCCUGUUCCCCUCUCUUAUGCUGUCUCGGGGGAUGAUUUAGCCACCAAGAAUUUUCCUUAUGGUUGCAAGAUGAUUAAAAAAAACCACACACUCAGAUGCUUUUCGGAGGUUGACAUUUUUCACAGCCCCUCUUCCUCCUCCAUAGAUUUCCUGGAGGUUCCAUCCAGCUCUGGCUCUAGCUGGCUCCUUGACUCUGGACAAGUCACUUCAUCUCUCCAAGCCUUGUCUAUAAAGUAGGGAUAAUACUCCUUCCCACUUCAGAGAGUCAUUCGGGGAUUAAACUGUGACAUGUAUGUAGCCAAGGGUCCAGCACACACUGACAACUCACCAAAUAUUAGCCAUCACUCCAAACUAAGAAGGCAGGAUUCCGGCUGGGCACGGUGGCUCACGCCUGUAAUCCCAGCACUUUGGAAGGCUGACGCAGGUGGAUCAUGAGGUCAAGAGAUUGAGACCAUCCUGGCCAACAUGGUGAAACCCCGUCUCUACUAAAAAUACAAAAA